CCUACGGGAGGCAGCAGUGAGGAAUAUUGGUCAAUGGACGCAAGUCUGAACCAGCCAUGCCGCGUGCAGGAUGAUGGCUCUAUGAGUUGUAAACUUCUUUUGUUCGAGGGUAAACCCCGAUACGAGUAUCGUGUUGCAUGUAACGUACGAAUAAGCAUCGGCUAACUCCGUUCCAGCAGCCGCGGUAAUACGGAGGAUCCGAGCGUUAUCCGGAUUUAUUGGGUUUACAGGGUGCGUAGGCGGUUUGAUAAGUUAGAGGUGAAAUGUCGGGGCUCAACCCCGAAACUGCCUCUAAUACUGGUGGACGAGGGAAUAGUGGCGGUAGGCGGAAUGUAUGGUGUAGCGGUGAAAUGCUUAGAGAUCAUACAGAACACCGAUUGCGAAGGCAGCUUACCAAACUAUAUCUGACGUUGAGGCACGAAAGCGUGGGUAGCAAACAGGAUUAGAUACCCCGGUAGUC
RNAcentral lists this ribosomal RNA (460 nucleotides) under uncultured bacterium. Its description in RNAcentral is "partial 16S ribosomal RNA". It matches the Rfam family "Bacterial small subunit ribosomal RNA", at positions 338 to 795 of the family's 1533-position model. The record is from RNAcentral.